Molecule: non-coding RNA, 28 nt
Filed under: Homo sapiens (human)
Lineage: Eukaryota; Metazoa; Chordata; Mammalia; Primates; Hominidae
Source: RNAcentral
UCUUGCGCAUACACAGGUUAGAACAAGU